CGCAAACACUUGUCCUCCAACUGCAGCUCCAGAGAGCACAGCUCCGGGCACAGCACAGGACGGCUCCUCGCGAUGCUCAAUGGAGCCAACUUCCCAUUGACUUCAGGGUGCAAUGAAAAUCCUGAUUAUCUCCAGUAUACCUGAAGUUAAUGUGUUUUGUCCAAGACAUCAGCAGUUUUCUGGAAGCUGAGAAACAGACUGGAGAGCUCUGAUGACACUGCUUGUGCUUUAUGAGACUGCCCGUGUGCAUUUCUCUGUGGAAUUCUCUCUGGAUGGGCACAAGAGACGGACUUUCCAAGAAUUCUCAAGACUCAGACUCAUGCUUUGCGGAUGAAGAGCAGCUCUCCUGGUGGUGCUGGAGGACGUGGUCACAUCGUGCAUGGCUCGCUGCGGCCAUGCUGGCCGAGUUGGCUGAAGCAUCACAGACAAGCUCCUCAUGGAACAGCUGUCGAUGCAGCGCACGGCAUCACAUAGCAGAUCCUACCAAAGGCUUGCUGACAGUUCACCUAGGUUCUUUACACAAAUCCCACAGACAGAAACCAUAUUUCAUGAAGACAUGCAGACCACUGAGGCUCCGAAGUGACAAUUUUCCUAGUUUUCCAAAACCAGCAAAGACUUGGGAAAGAAAAAUUGUUCUUGGAGGUGUAUCCGUAACUCCGUUUCUGUCUGUAUGAAUGCAUCUCUGAUACUUAUCACCCUGGAAACUUCCCGUGAUCCACGGAGGCUGCGAACUCUUUUUCAAAUGAGCGCGAUGCCUGAUAAGCUCUUUUUAAACGCCAAUUUUACUAUUAAAUGCCAAAUCUAGAGCUCCAUGCCCUGCCUCAUUAGUUAUUAAUGAAGCAACAUAUUUGUUCAAAAUUUAUGAUUGUUGAUUUGCUCCCAUCAUUGUAUGAAAUAUUAACACCGCAUUUGUACUUGCAACCAUUUUGCAGACAUUAGAUUGUGAAUUUGCAUAUUCAUGAAUGCUCAUAAAUGUUUAAGGAGACAGCACUGAAAGCAUGUGAGCUGUCAGUGAGCCAGUAAAAAGGCAUAUUUACAGUGUUAAUAAGUAGUUGAGUUUAUAGGACAAAACAGCAAGUAACAAAUUAAAUGAAUUUCCGUUUGCCUGUUGCAACAAACUACAGUAGCUUUUCCUCCCCUUCCCUUUGCUAAGCUGAGUAAACUUCAAACCUGCCUGCGAAAUUCUCCAUUGAGCAGCUCGUUGUGCAGCCGAGGCAUCUUGCUGCUUUUGCUAGGACCUCAACUUCUCACAGCCUUGCAUUUUCCUACAGAAGCCUGCACAGGGUAGUCACUAUUUACAAGAGC
RNAcentral lists this long non-coding RNA (1305 nucleotides) under Numida meleagris (helmeted guineafowl). RNAcentral's name for it is "lncRNA (ENSNMEG00000015144.1)". Lineage: Eukaryota; Metazoa; Chordata; Aves; Galliformes; Numididae. The record is from RNAcentral.